RNAcentral lists this ribosomal RNA (119 nucleotides) under Propithecus coquereli (Coquerel's sifaka). The record is from RNAcentral. Lineage: Eukaryota; Metazoa; Chordata; Mammalia; Primates; Indriidae.
GUCUACGGCCAUACCACCCUGAACGCUCCCGAUCUCGUCUGAUCUCAGAAGCUAAGCAGGGUCGAGCCUGGUUAGUACUUAGAUGGGAGACUGCCUGGGAAUACCGGGUGCUGUAGGCU